CAGCCGCCGCGGUAAUACGAAGGGGGCUAGCGUUGCUCGGAAUGACUGGGCGUAAAGGGCGCGUAGGCGGUUUUCCAAGUUAGAUGUGAAAUUCCUGGGCUCAACCUGGGGACUGCAUUUGAUACUGGGAGGCUUGAGUAUGGAAGAGGGUCGUGGAAUUCCCAGUGUAGAGGUGAAAUUCGUAGAUAUUGGGAAGAACACCGGUGGCGAAGGCGGCGACCUGGUCCAUAACUGACGCUGAGGCGCGAAAGCGUGGGGAGCAAACAGGAUUAGAUACCCGAGUAGUCCCUGUCUCUUAUAC
This 301-nucleotide ribosomal RNA is filed under the name uncultured bacterium. RNAcentral's name for it is "partial 16S ribosomal RNA". It matches the Rfam family "Bacterial small subunit ribosomal RNA", at positions 509 to 807 of the family's 1533-position model. The record is from RNAcentral.